Molecule: non-coding RNA, 307 nt
Organism: Nicotiana tabacum (common tobacco)
Lineage: Eukaryota; Viridiplantae; Streptophyta; Magnoliopsida; Solanales; Solanaceae
Source: RefSeq, a predicted model, not a curated record
UCUCCAUCUGUUACUCAUUUGUCAAAGAUAAUAUUUCCAGGCUGUGAACUUUGGAAGCAGCACAGUUACUCUUAAAAUCCCUAUUGGUGGAUUGAAGCAGAACUCACUGCAGUCCUUUGGGGCAACAACACUACAUUAACAUCUAGCAAUGUGAUGGAUGAGAAUUCUUUCGAAGAUCCUAAGAAGGUGUCGCCAAUUGAAACUACGGUCGAAAAAGUUAGCGGGAACAUGGGUGUUGUACUCUCACCGCAAUCUUUCACUUCAUUUGAUUUGUUAAGAAAAUCCAUGAGCAAUAGGAUUGCAACAA